This 238-nucleotide ribosomal RNA is filed under the name uncultured bacterium. Its description in RNAcentral is "partial 16S ribosomal RNA". It matches the Rfam family "Bacterial small subunit ribosomal RNA", at positions 1262 to 1500 of the family's 1533-position model. The record is from RNAcentral.
GUGGAGCAAAACUCAAAAACUUGUCUCAGUUCGGAUUGUAGGCUGAAACUCGCCUACAUGAAGCUGGAGUUGCUAGUAAUCGCGAAUCAGCAUGUCGCGGUGAAUACGUUCCCGGGCCUUGUACACACCGCCCGUCACACCAUGAGAGUUGGAGAUACCCGAAGCCUGUGAGCUAACAGAAAUGGAGCAGCAGUCGAAGGUAGAAUCAAUGAUUGGGGUGAAGUCGUAACAAGGUAGC